Molecule: microRNA precursor, 150 nt
Filed under: Gossypium hirsutum (cotton)
Lineage: Eukaryota; Viridiplantae; Streptophyta; Magnoliopsida; Malvales; Malvaceae
Also listed under: 1 other name
Description: MIR7502 microRNA precursor family
Rfam family: MIR7502 microRNA precursor family
Source: Rfam by way of RNAcentral
CGUUAAAAGUUUCAUCUAUUUGUACUCUUAAAAAUUGGUGUGGUUGACGGAAUAACUAGAUAGUAACACAUGUUGUGCCACAUGUACUUCAUGUUGAUGUAGAGGAAUCAGUUUUAAUCAGUAGAAAUGGAUCCAAGGGCUAAUUUACCC